CUUUUCUUCCUCAAACUCGAGCCGCAGCUUCGUCGGAUUCUCAACCCUAGCAACUCAUUUUCGUCCGAUUCACACAUCUUUCCGACCACUAGGAGCAAAUACGGUGGUAGAAACAAAAGAUCGUCUUUCUUUUUCCAUGUGUAGAGAAUCUGCAAAUUGAAGGAGAAUCUCCUCAUUUGAAUUGGAGGUUGGUGGAGUUCAAGUGUCAUGGUGACCUUUAGUUUUUAGUUUUCUGUUGUGUUGUUUGAUCACUCUUUAUGUUUUGCGGGACAUUAUAAGAUUUGAGUCAUAGAUUCUUAGAUUUGGAAUGUUGGAUCAUUUUAGAUGUUUGAGAAAGAAUGAACAAUAUACAUGUUGGUUUUUUUGCUGAUAAAUGUGGAUUUUUCAGGUCAUAUCCGAAAAAUUCAUUAAUAACCCGAAAACCGAAGAUAACCGAAAAAUCCAAAAAUAACCGAGUGUAACCGAAAAUAUCGGUUUUCUGGUAAAUAAUAUAAAAAUUCGGUUAAAUUCGGAAAUAAAUUGAAAACCGAAAAUAACCGACUUCCGAACCGACCCGAACCGAAUUCAAUUUCGGUUUUCUUCGGAAUUAAUUUUAGAAAUUCCGGUUAACCGAGAACCGAAAUUUCGGUUCGGUUCGGUUUCGGAAAA
Molecule: long non-coding RNA, 648 nt
Organism: Raphanus sativus (radish)
Lineage: Eukaryota; Viridiplantae; Streptophyta; Magnoliopsida; Brassicales; Brassicaceae
Exons: 3
Source: RefSeq, a predicted model, not a curated record